UUUCUUCGGGAUGAAGAGCUUAGUGACUGAGCGGCGGACGGGUGAGUAACGCGUGGGUAACCUGCCUCAUACAGGGGGAUAACAGUUGGAAACGACUGCUAAUACCGCAUAAGCGCACGGGAUUGCAUGAUCCAGUGUGAAAAACUCCGGUGGUAUGAGAUGGACCCGCGUCUGAUUAGCCAGUUGGUGGGGUAACGGCCUACCAAGGCGACGAUCAGUAGCCGGCCUGAGAGGGUGAACGGCCACAUUGGGACUGAGACACGGUCCAGACACC
Molecule: ribosomal RNA, 274 nt
Filed under: uncultured Eubacteriales bacterium
Lineage: Bacteria; Bacillati; Bacillota; Clostridia; Eubacteriales
Description: uncultured Clostridiales bacterium partial 16S ribosomal RNA
Rfam family: Bacterial small subunit ribosomal RNA
Source: RNAcentral